AGUGAACGCUGGCGGUAGGCCUAACACAUGCAAGUCGAACGGCAGCACAGUAAGAGCUUGCUCUUACGGGUGGCGAGUGGCGGACGGGUGAGGAAUACAUCGGAAUCUACUUUUUCGUGGGGGAUAACGUAGGGAAACUUACGCUAAUACCGCAUACGACCUACGGGUGAAAGCAGGGGAUCUUCGGACCUUGCGCGAUUGAAUGAGCCGAUGUCGGAUUAGCUAGUUGGCGGGGUAAAGGCCCACCCAGGCGACGAUCCGUAGCUGGUCUGGGAGGAUGAUCAGCCACACAGGAACUGAGACACGGUCCAGACUCCGACGGGAGGCAGCAGGGGGUAAUAUUGGACAAUGGGCGCAAGCCUGAUCCAGCCAUACCGCGUGGGUGAAGAAGGCCUUCGGGUUGUAAAGCCCUUUUGUUGGAAAGAAAAGCAGCAGGUUAAUACCCCGCUGUUCUGACGGUACCCAAAGAAUAAGCACCGGCUAACUUCGUG
This 491-nucleotide ribosomal RNA is filed under the name uncultured bacterium. Its description in RNAcentral is "partial 16S ribosomal RNA". It matches the Rfam family "Bacterial small subunit ribosomal RNA", at positions 29 to 507 of the family's 1533-position model. The record is from RNAcentral.